This 305-nucleotide ribosomal RNA is filed under the name uncultured bacterium. Its description in RNAcentral is "bacterial SSU rRNA". It matches the Rfam family "Bacterial small subunit ribosomal RNA", at positions 335 to 656 of the family's 1533-position model. The record is from RNAcentral.
UACCCUACGGGGCGCAGCAGUCGGGAAUAUUGCGCAAUGGAGGAAACUCUGACGCAGUGACGCCGCGUAUAGGAAGAAGGUUUUCGGAUUGUAAACUAUUGUCAUUAGGGAAGAUAAAAGACUGUACCUAAGGAGGAAGCCCCGGCUAACUACGUGCCAGCAGCCGCGGUAAUACGUAGGGGGCGAGCGUUAUCCGGAUUUACUGGGUGUAAAGGGAGCGUAGACGGCGUCGCAAGUCUGAAGUGAAAGCCCGUGGCUCAACCGCGGAACCGCUUUGGAAACUGCGAGGCUGGAGUGCUGGAGAG